Molecule: transfer RNA, 75 nt
Filed under: Rhodospirillaceae bacterium
Lineage: Bacteria; Pseudomonadati; Pseudomonadota; Alphaproteobacteria; Rhodospirillales; Rhodospirillaceae
Also listed under: 5 other names
Description: tRNA-Val(gac)
Rfam family: tRNA
About the family: Transfer RNA (tRNA) molecules are approximately 80 nucleotides in length. Their secondary structure includes four short double-helical elements and three loops (D, anti-codon, and T loops).
Source: RNAcentral
GGGCGGUUAGCUCAGCGGUAGAGCACCACGUUGACAUCGUGGUGGCCACUGGUUCGAUCCCAGUACCGCCCACCA